Molecule: RNA transcript, 1471 nt
Organism: Prunus avium (sweet cherry)
Lineage: Eukaryota; Viridiplantae; Streptophyta; Magnoliopsida; Rosales; Rosaceae
Gene name: HSP20-like chaperones superfamily protein
Source: RefSeq, a predicted model, not a curated record
CUACAGUACCCAUUUCUGACUUUUGGCGUAAAAUAAUAAAAACCCUCUUCUGAGCCUGCACCACCUGCAUAGUCAUCGUCUUCUUACAAUUAGAGCUUCCACAGAGCAAGCGAGAGAGAGAGAGAGAGAGUGGGGUUGAACUAAGGGCUUGCACUUUUGAGUUGCGGUCGCUGUUGAUCUGGAAAGGAGGACUGAGGUGUAGGUGGGUGUCAAUAAUUUUGUUAUUGGAAAAGAAUAAGCUAGAAGCAUGGAAGAUGACCUUCCUAAAACGUCAGUCAAUCCAUCGUUUGCCGACCAGCUUUUUCUACUGAACUUCAUAAUGGGCAAUUAUUUGGGUCCUGAUGUCACGUUUGAUAACCUCAAAUAUUCAGCAUUUCAAAGGAUAACUGAAGGUUCACCUCCGUAUAUGUCAAGUUAUUUGGGGCCUUCAUAUGUUAGUGUGUCUCUUUUGGAGGGUUUAUAUUACUAUCUCUUGAGAAAUGUUCACCCUAGCCUCAUUUUGAGACCAGAAAUAUUGCAUAAGUAUUUGAAGGGCAGCCUACCUUUGCCAAGUUCAGGGCUGACGAAAGACAGUUGGCAGUUCACAAAUUUUUUCCCUUUGGAUCUUCAUGAACAGAUAUGGUACCCUGAAAGCUUCAGAAUUGUUAAGGGGAUUCUUUUUAUUGAUGAUCCUGUUACAUCAUGUAUGAAAGAGGACGAUCUGGAAAAGUUCAAAUCUUUAUCUGGUAUAAAUAACAUGAAAAUUGAUAUAGAUGAAGCCAUACGAUAUCAACACGAGUACCUGGAUAAUGGGGAAAGUAAGACGAAUUGCUUGAAUGAUGAUUGCAAUUUCACAAAGACAGAAUUUUUUUCCAAUGGAAAUGGAAAUUGGUCGGAAAGAUUUCAGCAAAAAUAUAAGAGAAGGUGCCUCUCUCAUUCUCCAUCAAAGCCAGCAUUUCCCCAAGUUGUUACUACAUCAAAACAUUUAAGCAAAUAUGGAGCUUCAUGGAUGACCUGCCAACCAGAUGGACCUGUGUUCAUGCCCCUUAUCUCUGUUCCUAAUUUGGAAGAAUGUACUUCAGAUUCUUCUGUUGUUUUGUCUGGGACUGCCAGGAAAGGGGUAGUUGGGCCACCUGUUGGUGUUGUGGACAUUGGUGUUAGCAAGGCUGCAUAUUACUUCCGGGUUGCUCUACCAGGGGUCAGGAAGGAUUUUUGAUACUUGUCUCUCAAUGCAUCAUCGAGUGGAACAGAGUUUAUAUGCAGUUAAUGUUCCCAUUGCUGCCAAGAUAUAGGGCGGAUGUAUAUUCUAGGUAGCAUUUUUUUAAUGAUUCUCACUCCUGAGAAGGUGAACACAAGAAAGCCUCUUGGAAGCUGUAUCUUAUCCCACCUCCCCGCAUUCUAGGUCAAUUCAAUUGUGAGAUUGAAUCUAAUGGCAAGAUUCAUCUCCAAGGCGUCACAAGUGGUGGAAAUCCCAUAAGGAAACGUUCGCGUG